RNAcentral lists this transfer RNA (65 nucleotides) under Hydroporus sp. IBE<ESP> AN585. RNAcentral describes it as "tRNA-Pro". Lineage: Eukaryota; Metazoa; Arthropoda; Insecta; Coleoptera; Dytiscidae. The record is from RNAcentral.
CAAGGAAUAGUUUAAUUAAAAUAUUAAUUUUGGAGAUUAGCGAUAAGAGUGAAUUUUUUCCUUGA